UUAGACCAUCAAGUUGUCGCCGUUAACCCCAUUCGUCGUCUUACGUCACCGCCGUCAACCCCUUUCGUCGUCUUACGUCACCGCCGAUAAUCGUUUGCAAGCCAAAGCUGUUGUCUUUCCACCGCCGAGCUUGCUCAAGUAACCAUCACCUCUUUUUGACCAGCCAAAACCUCCCAUUUUUCACGAAAACACCACCACUCAACUCAUCUCUGCUGCUCCAUCGUAUCAUUUUCCGUGCACCACCACUGAUCGAGUUCGUCCAUCACCAAACCUUCACCUUUAACAACCACCACCUUCUUAAAACCUAACCGCCACAUUUACAACAACAAACCUCACUCUUUUUCCCCAUUACCGCUGACCUUCAAAGCCCCAUCCCAACCUUAAAAGAACCGAUUAAAACUCUACACAAACUCUCUCAACAUCGUUUCAGCUGUCCGUCACCGUCUACACAAUCAUUGUCGAUUGAUUUUUGAGCCCAAAAAUAGACCAUGGUUGGCACUAGAAACCAGUUGGCCGACAGAUUCCCGUUUCACUUAAUUUAAGUCAAAACUAAUUUUCAGCAUCACCAGUCGUCAACCCAGAUGAUGAAGAUCUAGAACCACCACCACCGAUGCAUGUUGCUGGAUCGAGUCGACUCCAACGUCAAAGAAGCCCGACACUGGUUGAAAUAGAAAGUCCACAAGUUUGUCCUGACACUUCUAACGACAAAAGGUAUAAUGUUCCAAUUUUACAACCUAUUUUACUAUUACUAACGUUUCCUAUAGGUCGUUUAGACGGAGCUAACACUUCAGGUCACGAUGAUCUUGAACCGUCGAACCAAAGUGAGCAACCAACUCUACGAUAAACAAGGUCGGCCACAGCUCGUGCUCAACGUACACAAUCAUACCAACCAAAUAAAGAGCAAGAGUCAACCCUGAAUAGCAGUACUAAAGCUGCUGAUAUGCCAAGUCCACCGCACAGUCCAGUAAAAAAUGAGUACCAACUUCCUAGAAAUAAUAGGCGCGGUCAACGGGACCGAACCUAUACAAUGCUGCCAGAACAGAGACUUCAAAGGUCUCUAAAUUUCACGACACUGGAACACCGUGCAAGAUACGAGAAAAUUCAACAUAGGCCGAU
Molecule: long non-coding RNA, 1116 nt
Filed under: Gossypium barbadense (sea-island cotton)
Lineage: Eukaryota; Viridiplantae; Streptophyta; Magnoliopsida; Malvales; Malvaceae
Description: long non-coding RNA (GBAR_LNC009679)
Source: RNAcentral